GACGAACGCUGGCGGCGUGCUUAACACAUGCAAGUCGAACGGAAAGGCCUCUUUCGGGGGGUACUCGAGUGGCGAACGGGUGAGUAACACGUGAGUAACCUGCCCUUGACUUUGGGAUAACUUCAGGAAACUGGUGCUAAUACCGGAUAGGAGCUCCUUCUGCAUGGUGGGGGUUGGAAAGUUUUGGCGGUUGGGGAUGGACUCGCGGCUUAUCAGCUUGUUGGUGGGGUAGUGGCUUACCAAGGCUUUGACGGGUAGCCGGCCUGAGAGGGUGACCGGCCACAGUGGGACUGAGAUACGGCCCAGACUCCUACGGGAGGCAGCAGUGGGGAAUAUUGCACAAUGGGUGGAAGCCUGAUGCAGCAACGCCGUGUGCGGGAUGACGGCCUUCGGGUUGGAAACCGCUUUCGCUCAUGACGAAGCUUUGUGUGACGGUAGUGGGUAAAGAAGCACCGGCUAACUACGUG
This 467-nucleotide ribosomal RNA is filed under the name uncultured bacterium. Its description in RNAcentral is "partial 16S ribosomal RNA". It matches the Rfam family "Bacterial small subunit ribosomal RNA", at positions 28 to 507 of the family's 1533-position model. The record is from RNAcentral.